Molecule: ribosomal RNA, 429 nt
Filed under: Verrucomicrobiota bacterium
Lineage: Bacteria; Pseudomonadati; Verrucomicrobiota
Description: Verrucomicrobia bacterium partial 16S ribosomal RNA
Rfam family: Bacterial small subunit ribosomal RNA
Source: RNAcentral
UAGGGAAUCUUCCGCAAUGGACGAAAGUCUGACGGAGCAACGCCGCGUGAGUGAAGAAGGAUUUCGGUUCGUAAAACUCUGUUGUUAGGGAAGAAAAAAUGUAUAGUAACUAUAUACAAAAGAGACGGUACCUAACCAGAAAGCCACGGCUAACUACGUGCCAGCAGCCGCGGUAAUACGUAGGUGGCAAGCGUUGUCCGGAAUUAUUGGGCGUAAAGCGCGCGCAGGUGGUUUAGAAAGUCUGAUGUGAAAGCCCACGGCUCAACCGUGGAGGGUCAUUGGAAACUAAUAAACUUGAGUGCAGGAGAGAAAAGUGGAAUUCCUAGUGUAGCGGUGAAAUGCGUAGAGAUUAGGGGGAACACCGGUGGCGAAAGCGGCUUUUUGGCCUGCAACUGACACUGAGGCGCGAAAGCGUGGGGAGCAAACAGG